UACGUAGGAUGCGAGCGUUAUCCGGAUUUAUUGGGCGUAAAGCGAGCGCAGGUGGUUUAUUAAGUCUGGUGUAAAAGGCAGUGGCUCAACCAUUGUAUGCAUUGGAAACUGGUAGACUUGAGUGCAGGAGAGGAGAGUGGAAUUCCAUGUGUAGCGGUGAAAUGCGUAGAUAUAUGGAGGAACACCGGUGGCGAAAGCGGCUCUCUGGCCUGUAACUGACACUGAGGCUCGAAAGCGUGGGGAGCAAACAGG
RNAcentral lists this ribosomal RNA (252 nucleotides) under uncultured bacterium. Its description in RNAcentral is "partial 16S ribosomal RNA". It matches the Rfam family "Bacterial small subunit ribosomal RNA", at positions 524 to 776 of the family's 1533-position model. The record is from RNAcentral.